UGGUUUUGUUUCCCACGUUUU
RNAcentral lists this non-coding RNA (21 nucleotides) under Caenorhabditis elegans. Lineage: Eukaryota; Metazoa; Nematoda; Chromadorea; Rhabditida; Rhabditidae. The record is from RNAcentral.